RNAcentral lists this transfer RNA (69 nucleotides) under Teispes insularis. RNAcentral's name for it is "tRNA-Gln". The record is from RNAcentral. Lineage: Eukaryota; Metazoa; Arthropoda; Insecta; Coleoptera; Cerambycidae.
UGCGGCUUAGUAUAUGAUGUACACGAGUUUUUGAUACUUGAGGGGGUAGUUUAAUUCUACUAGGCGCAA